UGUGCUAAUACCGCAUAAUCUCUGAGGAGAAAAGCAGGGGAUCGCAAGACCUUGCGCUUUUGGAGCGGCCGAUGCCUGAUUAGCUUGUUGGUGAGGUAAAAGCUCACCAAGGCUUCGAUCAGUAGCUGGUCUGAGAGGACGACCAGCCACACUGGGACUGAGACACGGCCCAGACUCCUACGGGAGGCAGCAGUGGGGAAUUUUGGACAAUGGGGGCAACCCUGAUCCAGCCAUGCCGCGUGAGUGAAGAAGGCCUUCGGGUUGUAAAGCUCUUUCAGCCGGAACGAAACGGUCACGGUUAAUACCCGUGACUACUGACGGUACCGGAAGAAGAAGCACCGGCUAACUACGUGCCAGCAGCCGCGGUAAUACGUAGGGUGCGAGCGUUAAUCGGAAUUACUGGGCGUAAAGCGUGCGCAGGUGGUUUUGUAAGUCAGAUGUGAAAUCCCCGGGCUUAACCUGGGAACUGCGUUUGAAACUACAAGGCUAGAGUGUGGCAGAGGGGGGUGGAAUUCCGCGUGUAGCAGUGAAAUGCGUAGAGAUGUGGAGGAACACCGAUGGCGAAGGCAGCCCCCUGGGUCAACACUGACGCUCAGGCACGAAAGCAUGGGGAGCAAACAGGAUUAGAUACCCUGGUAGUCCAUGCCCUAAACGAUGUCAACUAGUUGUCGGGUCUUAACGGGCUUGGUAACGUAGCUAACGCGUGAAGUUGACCGCCUGGGGAGUACGAUCGCAAGAUUAAAACUCAAAGGAAUUGACGGGGACCCGCACAAGCGGUGGAUUAUGUGGAUUAAUUCGAUGCAACGCGAAAAACCUUACCUACCCUUGACAUGUAUUGAAACCCGCAGAGAUGUGGGUGUGCCCGAAAGGGAACGAUAACACAGGUGCUGCAUGGCUGUCGUCAGCUCGUGUCGUGAGAUGUUGGGUUAAGUCCCGCAACGAGCGCAACCCUUGUCAUUAAUUGCCAUCAUUUAGUUGGGCACUUUAAUGAGACUGCCGGUGACAAACCGGAGGAAGGUGGGGAUGACGUCAAGUCCUCAUGGCCCUUAUGGGUAGGGCUUCACACGUAA
RNAcentral lists this ribosomal RNA (1070 nucleotides) under uncultured Nitrosospira sp. RNAcentral's name for it is "bacterial SSU rRNA". It matches the Rfam family "Bacterial small subunit ribosomal RNA", at positions 159 to 1225 of the family's 1533-position model. The record is from RNAcentral. Lineage: Bacteria; Pseudomonadati; Pseudomonadota; Betaproteobacteria; Nitrosomonadales; Nitrosomonadaceae.